GUACACUCCUACGGGAGGCAGCAGUGGGGAAUUUUGGACAAUGGGCGAAAGCCUGAUCCAGCAAUGCCGCGUGAGUGAAGAAGGCCUUCGGGUUGUAAAGCUCUUUUGUCAGGGAAGAAACGGUGAGAGCUAAUAUCUCUUGCUAAUGACGGUACCUGAAGAAUAAGCACCGGCUAACUACGUGCCAGCAGCCGCGGUAAUACGUAGGGUGCAAGCGUUAAUCGGAAUUACUGGGCGUAAAGCGUGCGCAGGCGGUUUUGUAAGUCUGAUGUGAAAUCCCCGGGCUCAACCUGGGAAUUGCAUUGGGGACUUCAAGGCUAGAAUCUGGCAGAGGGGGGUAGAAUUCCACGUGUAGCAGUGAAAUGCGUAGAUAUGUGGAGGAACACCGAUGGCGAAGGCAGCCCCCUGGGUCAAGAUUGACGCUCAUGCACGAAAGCGUGGGGAGCAAACAGGAUUAGAAACCCGUGUAGUCCCA
This 475-nucleotide ribosomal RNA is filed under the name uncultured organism. RNAcentral describes it as "partial 16S ribosomal RNA". It matches the Rfam family "Bacterial small subunit ribosomal RNA", at positions 331 to 797 of the family's 1533-position model. The record is from RNAcentral.